CUGAAAUGAAAUGGAGGUUUCUUUAUGAAAAUAGCCUUUGUUUGGCCUGCAGCGCUGGUAAUUCAUAAACAAUAAGCUGGGAGGCCAUUGUGGGGAUAAUAAUACAUGCAGUCUGCUGGAGACGCAGCGAAGGCAGCAGAACACUGCUGGAGAGUAUAUAAGGGUAGGAAGAGAAGAAGAGCAAUGGGAAAGAGAUGGCAGAGAAAUUCUAGGAGUGACAUGAAAUAUGGGGAAAGGAGUGACAGAUGAAGAUGGGGACAGAGAGAGGGAUGGGCCUCUGGGCAGACAUUGGCUCAGUCAGGAGUUGAGAGGAGAGAGGACUAUGCAGUAGGAUAAUGGUGCAGUAUUAGAUGAUAUAAAGUGUGGAGCAGAGAGGGGAAAUGGGGAAGACGGUGUGUGGCUGGAUUAGAGGAGAAGGGUGGAGGAGUCGGCAUAACAGAAGGACAGAUUUGACUCAGAAAGCUCAAUGGAUUACAGAUUUGUGAGCUGGUGGUUUGUCACUACUUGCUGCCAGUUAUGUUCUCUCUCUGCCUCUCUCUCUCUGCCAUUUCUCUCUCUCCAGCUCAACUUUAGGGCAGAGUAAGCUCUGUGGCUGAGUGUAUAGUCUGUCAGAGCAAACUGAGAGGGCAAAAGGGAGAGGCAGGAGAGCUGAUGAGGUGCUUAUAACUGGACCUGGUUCUCCUUGCUUUGGAAUGUGACUCCCUCAAUUCAAGAAGCUUCAAUGACUCACUCACUGAUGGGAUACUUCUCUCACUAAGAAAAUCUGGUGGAAUUAAGUCUGACAAAGACUCUUUGAUUGACAUGGGAGUGCAGCAAUGGGAGCGGAGCAUCCAAAUUCUCCAGCAUGUGGUCUCCUCUCCAGCUCCCAUCAACCCCCAGGAGAAGAUGAAGGGAGCUCUGAGUCUCUCAGGCGGAAGGUUGAAGCACAUCCCCAACACCCAGACAGAUGUCAAGAAGCUGGGGACCUCCCAGCCACCAGGAAAAUCAUCUUGUUCUUGGAGUUUAUUCACAAGGUCAGAUAGAAAUAGAUCCACACAUGUUAUUCUCUAUCAUGCAGAGUUCUCUAUCAUGCUCAUUCAAUAAUAGACGUGGGUGAUUUCUGUCCCAGGGGACUGAACUGUGUGCAAAUUAUUUGUUAAAUUGAGACCACAAUUAGUUGAAUGAGGUGUUAGUGAACCUGUUCACUCCUGUGUAAAGAACCUAUGGCUGUCAUGACUUCAAUUGACUCAAUGCAGUUACCAUUUUCUUUUGUUAAUCUAUGUAGGUUUUGUCAUAUGAUGAGCCUGGUGGAGAUGGAUACAACCAUACUCCCUGCAUCCAGCUUGAGGCCUGCUACCAGCAGGAACAUGGAGCACUCCAUGUCAGUGUCAGGAAGUUAGGAAUAUAUAUAAAACAUUCAAAAAAUAUUUAUAUAUAUACACACAGCUAAUACUCCGCUCAUAUGCAGAGUGGAGAAGCCCUCUGCACCAUAAACAUGUCUACUCGUGGAGUAACUCCCUGUCAGAGAGACUGAUUAGAGGGUUUUGCCAGAGGCCCUUGGCCAAUGGGAGGUCAUGUGUGAGGGCUUAGGGGUUAGAGGGAGAGACAGCGAAGUUACAGACAUGAAGAUACAACUUGAACCACAGAGUAAGGCAUUCAUUUGUCUGACUGGAAGGCACCCUUAUAGUCAACAAUGUAAAUGUUAACUCUCUUACUCUCUCUCUUUCAAGAGCGUUCAGUACACUCUUAGAAAGAAAGGUGUUAUCUAGAACUUCAGCUGUCCCCAUAGGAUGACCAUUUGAAGAACCCUUUUGGUUCCAUGUAGAAACCUUUUGGGUUUUGGGUUGGAACCAAAAAGGGUUCUCCUAUGGGGACAACCGAAUAACCCUAUCAAUCUCUUUCCAGGUGCUAGAGACAGAAUAUUCAAAGGACCUCCAGAGCCUUCAGACCAACUACUCUCCAGAGCACAGACAAGUAACCUCCACUGGUGGUAAUAUACUUUAUUCACUAUGUAACCCUUCACGAUGGCUGUCUGUCUGUGUGAUGACAUAUAGCAUAUUAUCCAGGGCCGCUGGUUGGAUUUACUGUACUCACUCCAAAACUCAUGCGACCUUCUCCCUGUAAAAGUCUCCCAGACUUGUAUAAAAACUAACGUGUCCAUCCCUCUGUUUCCCAGCUGAGUCUGCUGGUCCAUGGAACUCUAGAGCAGAACAUCAAAAAACCUGCCAUCCUGUUGCCAGCUAUCGACGGUUCCCUGAGGAAAGAUGCAAAUAUCAAGGCUUUAAAUGGUCAAAUUUGGGGGAUGACCACCAAAUUCAAUAAAGUUUUGCAGAAUCUACAAUAACUGUUUCUUAGCCUGUUCUCAUUUGUAUUAACUACUAUGGUAACUUAAACAUCUGGCAACAUGCAGACUUUAUCCAUCAAGACAAUACUUAUGAUUCUUAAGGGCUAAAAUCAAUGAAUACAUUUCUAUUUAUGUAUAAAGGACAUCACAUAGGUGUGCCAACUAAAAUAUAUAUCCCAGAGAAGACUGAAGAAUAGGACAAAUAGGC
This 2531-nucleotide long non-coding RNA is filed under the name Salmo trutta (river trout). RNAcentral's name for it is "lncRNA (ENSSTUG00000008280.1)". The record is from RNAcentral. Lineage: Eukaryota; Metazoa; Chordata; Actinopteri; Salmoniformes; Salmonidae.